GAUGAACGCUAGCGGCAGGCCUAACACAUGCAAGUCGAGGGGCAGCACAGAAACAGCAAUGUUUUGGUGGCGACCGGCGGACGGGUGCGUAACGCGUAUGCAACCUACCUUUAACAGGGGGAUAACGGAGAGAAAUUUCCACUAAUACCCCAUAACAUCGAUCAAGGCAUCUUGAUUGGUUGAAAACUCCGGUGGUUAAAGAUGGGCAUGCGUUGUAUGAGGUAGUUGGUGGGCCAAUGGCUCACCAAGCCUACGAUACAUAGGGGGGCUGAGAUGGUAGACCCCCACACUGGUACGGAGACACGGACCAGACUCCGACGGGAGGCAGCAGUGAGGAAUAUUGGUCAAUGGGGGCAACCCUGAACCAGCCAUGCCGCGUGCAGGAAGACGGCUCUAUGAGUUGUAAACUGCUUUUAAACAGAGAUAAAGCACAGUAUGUAUACUGUGUUGAAGGUACUGUAAGAAUAAGGAUCGGCUAACUCCGUGCCAGCCGCCGCGGUAA
Molecule: ribosomal RNA, 502 nt
Filed under: uncultured bacterium
Lineage: Bacteria
Description: partial 16S ribosomal RNA
Rfam family: Bacterial small subunit ribosomal RNA
Source: RNAcentral